Acipenser ruthenus (sterlet) is the source of this 876-nucleotide long non-coding RNA. RefSeq lists it as uncharacterized. The record is from RefSeq and is a predicted model, not a curated record. NCBI's taxonomy places the organism in Eukaryota, Metazoa, Chordata, Actinopteri, Acipenseriformes, Acipenseridae. The transcript has 4 exons.
GCCUCUCACUUCUGAGUAAGACAAAACAGGAAUUGGCUCGCUACAUCCUGUCACAAGGGUCUGUGGGGAGCAGGCAGGCAGGCAAAACUCACGUGAAACACUUCACUUUUCAACAGAAAAGAGGAAACACACAUCUGUUAAAACAUGGGAUCAGAACUCAAGUGUUUGUUGUAACCACUGCAGUGUUCUGUAACUGCUCCUUUGUGUUUGUUGGUUCCUUGAGUGCGCUCCACAUUUCUUGUGUAUAGUUAUAAAUACAACCACUCAGAUGGAAGAGUUUCCCAUCCCCUCUGCUUCAUCUUCUCCAGCCCUGUCGGUUGCAAGCCUGAACAGCAGAUGAUGUACGCUGUCAGCAAAGACAGAUUAAAAAUACCCAGGAAAUGCAAGACAUGGCUUGCAAUUAGAGAUUUCUUAUUUCCAUCCCUGAAUAAGUACAACUCAUAGAAAGGUGUUUGAGAUCAGGAACACAGAUGACUUGACGGAAGACUGGCUGAAAGAAAAACUGUCCUUUUUCGGCUAAUCAGAACAAUCAUAUUUUCACAACAGCAUCAUCUGGGUGGAUGGCUUUAUUUUUAAAACAAAUUCGAUUAACUAAGAAAAAUGGUACUGAGUUUUAAAUGUAAUCUUUAAUUACCUUCUGCUUCCUCUGUUGGCCCCACCUACUCGAUAACCCUAAAAUCUAUGAUACGAUACAUUCUCUUUACUAUGCCUGUUUGUAAAAACAAAAAACGAGCAAAUGAUGGAUUCAAAAUAUAUAAUGAAACACCAGUUUUUAGAUUGUAUAUAUUAUAGAGAUCAGGUAACUUUAAAACCAAAAAGAAUGUAACUCACACCUAUUCUUUUGUGGUGGACCAAAAUAAAAGGCAUGUGAAGGCA